Molecule: non-coding RNA, 753 nt
Organism: Danio rerio (zebrafish)
Lineage: Eukaryota; Metazoa; Chordata; Actinopteri; Cypriniformes; Danionidae
Source: RefSeq, a predicted model, not a curated record
UUGUCUUUUUUUUUUUGCACCCUUCUGAAAUUUCAAGGCAUAGAAACUUAAUGAGUUGUGUUUAAUCACUAAUGCCAUGUCUAAAUGAAAUUGUGUUUGAUCUCAGGUGAUCCGACCUUUAUUUAUAUCUAUAACUUUGGUCAAUCAAAUCUGACUUUUAGAGGAAUUGUGCUUUUCAAAUGUAUUUUUUUUCUGAAGUUUUGAGUUCGUGACCUCGUCCUCUCUUCACUGCCGAUCAAUAUUUCUGUAAGCUUAUCGCAAAACUGUUUGACUAAACCCCCUCUUGGUACAUAUAUGGAGGUUAAAGGAGAGCAGGUUGACCAGUCAUGGCAAACUCUCCUCUGGACUAGACUUGUUUCUUGUUUUCUAGCAGACGGACGAGGUUAUGAGAGCGUGUGAGUGUGCUGUGGAGAACAGAGUUUGUAGUUGGUGGAUGGUCUGUUUUAUGUUUCUUUUUUCAGUGAUGAAAAAACAUGAAGAUCUGGCAUAUUUACUGAACUUGGUCUGUGUUUGAUGUGAAGUUGAAAACGCCACAAACGUCAGCUUGAAGAGGCCAUCUGCACGGUUCCCGUCAUCUUGCACUCCUCUGAGCGACACGUAAACAGAAGACCAGAAUCGAUAACACUUGCACAUGACAGCUGUGUGAACCUGCGGCUGGAACAGACAAGAGCGGAAAAAUCAAGUCACAGUUUAUAGGUUCAUUCUGAGUUCAGUGAAAAAACGACAUGUAAUAUAUAAAAUGUACAGCAUCUA